UGAGUGAGUAUGUCAAUUGGUAGACUCUCCGUUUUGGGUAUGGAAUAAUGUAGGUUCGAAUCCUGCCUCACUCAU
This 75-nucleotide transfer RNA is filed under the name compost metagenome. RNAcentral describes it as "tRNA-Pro". It matches the Rfam family "tRNA". From Rfam's summary of the family: Transfer RNA (tRNA) molecules are approximately 80 nucleotides in length. Their secondary structure includes four short double-helical elements and three loops (D, anti-codon, and T loops). The record is from RNAcentral.